RNAcentral lists this ribosomal RNA (253 nucleotides) under uncultured bacterium. RNAcentral describes it as "partial 16S ribosomal RNA". It matches the Rfam family "Bacterial small subunit ribosomal RNA", at positions 524 to 776 of the family's 1533-position model. The record is from RNAcentral.
UACGUAGGGUGCAAGCGUUGUCCGGAAUUAUUGGGCGUAAAGAGCUCGUAGGCGGUCUGUCACGUCUGCUGUGAAAACCCGGGGCUCAACCCCGGGCCUGCAGUCGAUACGGGCAGACUAGAGUGCGGUAGGGGAGACUGGAAUUCCUGGUGUAGCGGUGAAAUGCGUAGAUAUCUGGAGGAAUACCGGUGGCGAAGGCGGCAUCCUGGACCGGCAUUGACGCUGAGGAGCGAAAGCUAGGGGAGCAAACGGG